This 493-nucleotide ribosomal RNA is filed under the name uncultured Curtobacterium sp. RNAcentral describes it as "partial 16S ribosomal RNA". The record is from RNAcentral. Lineage: Bacteria; Bacillati; Actinomycetota; Actinomycetes; Micrococcales; Microbacteriaceae.
CACGUAGUUAGCCGGUGCUUUUUCUGCAGGUACCGUCACUUUCGCUUCUUCCCUACUAAAAGAGGUUUACAACCUGAAGGCCGUCAUCCCUCACGCGGCGUUGCUGCAUCAGGCUUUCGCCCAUUGUGCAAUAUUCCCCACUGCUGCCUCCCGUAGGAGUCUGGGCCGUGUCUCAGUCCCAGUGUGGCCGGUCACCCUCUCAGGCCGGCUACCCGUCGUCGCCUUGGUGAGCCAUUACCUCACCAACAAGCUGAUAGGCCGCGAGUCCAUCCCCAACCAAAAAAUCUUUCCACCACCAGACCAUGCGGCCAGUGAUCAUAUCCAGUAUUAGACGUCGUUUCCAACGCUUAUCCCAGAGUCAGGGGCAGGUUACCUCACGUGUUACUCCACCCGUUCGCCACUACUCCCACCAGACAAGCGUGGCAUCAUCGUCGACUUGCAUGUAGUUAAGCACGCCGCACGCGUUCGUCGUGACGCGAGGACUACGAACUCU